This 507-nucleotide ribosomal RNA is filed under the name uncultured bacterium. RNAcentral's name for it is "bacterial SSU rRNA". It matches the Rfam family "Bacterial small subunit ribosomal RNA", at positions 391 to 893 of the family's 1533-position model. The record is from RNAcentral.
CCAAAGUCGCGUGGGUGAGGAGGCUUUCGGGUUGUAAGCUCUUUCGUUGGGGAAGAAAAGUUGGCGCUUAAUACGGGCGCCCUUGACCUUACCCACACAAGAAGCCCCGGCUAACUCCGUGCCCGCAGCCCCGGUAAUACCGAGGGUGCAAGCGUUAAUCGGAAUUACUGGGCGUAAAGCGCGCGUAGGCGGUUUGAUAAGCCAGAUGUGAAAGCCCCGGGCUUAACCUGGGAACGGCAUUUGGAACUGGCAGGCUUGAGUGCGGGAGAGGGAAGUGGAAUUUCCUGUGUAGCGGUGAAAUGCGUAAAUAUUGGGAGGAACACCAGUGGCGAAGGCGGCCUUCUGGACCGACACUGACCCUGAAGUGCGAAAGCGUGGGGAGCCAACAGGAUUAAAUACCCUGGUAAUCCACGCCGUAAACGAUGUAGAGUAAGCGUUGGGAGGCUUGCCGUCCUUUAGGCGCAAUUUAAGCGCUUUAUCGACCCCCUGGGGAGUAUAGCCCCGAGG